AAAAGACUCUCAAAUGUGUGAGGAGGUCUCCAUCAGUGAAGCUAUUCAAGAAGAGAGUAGAUGUCACCUGUUGGGUUUUCUAGAACUAUACCACUGUAUUGUCUGUCAGCAAACUGCUUAUUACCCACGUACCCAGAGUAACGGAACUUGCGCCUGAAUGUAAAUUAGCUACAUCACCAUACACACUGCUGAAGUCCAUUGACACUUUUUGUGGCAAGACUUUCUAGAUGGAAGAAAUGGCUGCAUUGAUUUACGAUCUGACUCUAAACUCUAAGAGAACGCAGAUUCAGAUUUCCAUCUCUGCAUUCCCAGUCCCCUCUACAGUGCUGUGUACAUGAGCUUCAGAGGAACCAGGCCCUCGAUGUUUCCCAGUAAAUCAUGACUUCAAGAUGCUCCUCAGUUUCCUUCAACCUUGACUUUCCUCCAAGAAUGCUGAGCCUUUUUCUGGUCUGUCCCUUGUACCUGCUUAGUUCUAAACUUCCUCUUUAACAUGUAGAAACAUAACAGCCAAAUAUUAAUUAGCAAUCUAGCAAUUAAGUGACUUAAAUAUGCAGAAUUGAUCUUACACAUUUAGCCUGACUCAUUUAUAUACCAUAAUUGCAAAAUAAGUUAAUAAUCUGCAAAAAUAAAAAUAGAAAAGUUUACGUCCGUAAGUCAUUUUUCAAUACUAGAAAUAUUUACCACUUCAACAA
This 692-nucleotide long non-coding RNA is filed under the name Equus asinus (donkey). RNAcentral describes it as "lncRNA (ENSEASG00005037847.1)". Lineage: Eukaryota; Metazoa; Chordata; Mammalia; Perissodactyla; Equidae. The record is from RNAcentral.